This 467-nucleotide ribosomal RNA is filed under the name uncultured bacterium. RNAcentral describes it as "partial 16S ribosomal RNA". It matches the Rfam family "Bacterial small subunit ribosomal RNA", at positions 29 to 507 of the family's 1533-position model. The record is from RNAcentral.
ACGAACGCUGGCGGCGUGCUUAACACAUGCCAGUCGCACGGAAAGGCCCUGCUUUUGUGGGGUGCUCGAGUGGCGAACGGGUGAGUAACACGUGAGUAACCUGCCCUUGACUUUGGGAUAACUUCAGGAAACUGGGGCUAAUACCGGAUAGGAGCUCCUGCUGCAUGGUGGGGGUUGGAAAGUUUCGGCGGUUGGGGAUGGACUCGCGGCUUAUCAGCUUGUUGGUGGGGUAGUGGCUUACCAAGGCUUUGGCGGGUAGCCGGCCUGAGAGGGUGACCGGCCACAUUGGGACUGAGAUACGGCCCAGACUCCUACGGGAGGCAGCAGUGGGGAAUAUUGCACAAUGGGCGGAAGCCUGAUGCAGCAACGCCGCGUGCGGGAUGACGGCCUUCGGGUUGUAAACCGCUUUCGCCUGUGACGAAGCGUGAGUGACGGUAAUGGGUAAAGAAGCACCGGCUAACUACGUG